This is a long non-coding RNA of Myotis lucifugus (little brown bat), 654 nucleotides long. RefSeq lists it as uncharacterized. The record is from RefSeq and is a predicted model, not a curated record. NCBI's taxonomy places the organism in Eukaryota, Metazoa, Chordata, Mammalia, Chiroptera, Vespertilionidae. The transcript has 2 exons.
AGGUCAGGCGGGCUGGAGGGGCGAGAGCUCAGCACUGGCCCUGGGGUCUUGGCACUGUUUCAAAGGCUGGCUUCAGAUGCUUAUCAGCUGGCUCUUGCACAAGGCCUGGGAGGAGAUCGCAUCAGAGAUGUGAAAAAUGCCAGGGAAGCCAAAACAACUUUCUUUAAAUAGGGCUCAGGCAAUAGGCCGGGUGCUUACACUCCACCUUGGCCUUGUGAAGGAAAAUGCAAACAUUCGCCCAGAGUUGGAGAAGCAAACAGGCACCUUAGAGGAAGACGGAGAACUGACUCUAAGAGACGCCAAGACACAGGGAAUGCAAAGAAAGCUAUCCACACCCUUCUCCUAAUCAUCUUGACCUGCAAAUGACACGUCAUUUCUGAUCACACUCUGUAGGAGAAGUUACUGCAUGACCCCACCUACAUGCAAGAGGAGCCAGGAGAUGGAAUCCUGUCUGGACAGCCACUUCAGCCCAUGGAAAGUGAAGCACAAUUUGUUGGUGGACAACUAGCUCUCCCUGCCACCACCCACCUUUGAAUUUCCUGUAACAGUUAUUUCCGUGCAUGGCCCAGGAACAAUGUCUUUGCCCAGUUUCAGUUCCUAACAGGACAAAGGUUUUCAGAUUUAAAUGAACUAUCAGUAAAUGGCUAUACCUAA